Molecule: ribosomal RNA, 665 nt
Filed under: Pseudomonas sp. EA_R_35
Lineage: Bacteria; Pseudomonadati; Pseudomonadota; Gammaproteobacteria; Pseudomonadales; Pseudomonadaceae
Description: bacterial SSU rRNA
Rfam family: Bacterial small subunit ribosomal RNA
Source: RNAcentral
CUACCAUGCAGUCGAGCGGUAGAGAGGUGCUUGCACCUCUUGAGAGCGGCGGACGGGUGAGUAAUGCCUAGGAAUCUGCCUGGUAGUGGGGGAUAACGCUCGGAAACGGACGCUAAUACCGCAUACGUCCUACGGGAGAAAGCAGGGGACCUUCGGGCCUUGCGCUAUCAGAUGAGCCUAGGUCGGAUUAGCUAGUUGGUGAGGUAAUGGCUCACCAAGGCGACGAUCCGUAACUGGUCUGAGAGGAUGAUCAGUCACACUGGAACUGAGACACGGUCCAGACUCCUACGGGAGGCAGCAGUGGGGAAUAUUGGACAAUGGGCGAAAGCCUGAUCCAGCCAUGCCGCGUGUGUGAAGAAGGUCUUCGGAUUGUAAAGCACUUUAAGUUGGGAGGAAGGGCAUUAACCUAAUACGUUAGUGUUUUGACGUUACCGACAGAAUAAGCACCGGCUAACUCUGUGCCAGCAGCCGCGGUAAUACAGAGGGUGCAAGCGUUAAUCGGAAUUACUGGGCGUAAAGCGCGCGUAGGUGGUUCGUUAAGUUGGAUGUGAAAUCCCCGGGCUCAACCUGGGAACUGCAUUCAAAACUGUCGAGCUAGAGUAUGGUAGAGGGUGGUGGAAUUUCCUGUGUAGCGGUGAAAUGCGUAGAUAUAGGAAGGAACACCA